AAGCUCGUAGUUGAAUUUCGGGAUCAAUGUUUCGGUCAUGCCGUUGGUAUGUACUGAUAUUGUUGAUUUCUCACCUUCUAAAGAACCGUAAUACCAUUAAUUUGGUGUCACGGGGAAUUAGGACUGUUACCUUGAAAAAAUUAGAGUGUUUAAAGCAGGCUCACGCUUGAAUACAUUAGCAUGGAAUAAUGAAAUAGGACAUCCGAUUCUAUUUUGUUGGUUUCUAGGAUCGAUGUAAUGAUUAUAGGGAUAGUUGGG
RNAcentral lists this ribosomal RNA (258 nucleotides) under uncultured Glomus. RNAcentral describes it as "partial 18S ribosomal RNA". It matches the Rfam family "Eukaryotic small subunit ribosomal RNA", at positions 624 to 886 of the family's 1831-position model. Lineage: Eukaryota; Fungi; Glomeromycota; Glomeromycetes; Glomerales; Glomeraceae. The record is from RNAcentral.